GUGCGACCACCCCUUGUUUCCACAGCCUACUUGCCCAUUUGGCCACCGCCUCCAGAGUUUCCAUCAUGCCUGACAGCGAAUUACAUGGGACCGCUGGGUCCUCGAAAUAGUUCAGUCUGGUUACUCUAUCCCAUUCAUAUCCUAUCCUCCUACCCUUCCCCAUCCCUCUUCAGGGACUCCUCUCACAAGCUCCUCCUUCGUGCAGAAGUGGCGCACCUCCUCCAGCUAGGUGCAGUGGAACCUGUGCUGAUGCAACAUCAAGGGAAAGGGUUCUUCUCCCAUUACUUCCUGACCCAGAAAAAAAACGGGGUGAUGGAGGCCUAUAUUAGUCCUAUGCCGACUGAACAAAUUCGUGAGGGUACAAAAAUUCAAGAUGGUCACACUGGGCACAAUAAUUCCUGCACUGGAUCAAGGGGACUGGUUUACAGCCCUCGACCUACAGAACGCUUAUUUUCAUAUAUCAAUUCAUCCAGCUCACAGGCACUUCCUACAAUUCACAAUCUGUCACAACCAUUUUCAAUACAGAGUUCUUCCUUUUGGCCUCUCCACAGCGCCGAGAGUCUUUUCCAAGACUCUAGCCAUGGUCGUGGCUUACCUCCGCAAACAUGGGAUCGCGCUGUUCCCCUACCUGGACGAUUGCCUCGUCAAGGGCAACUCCUAUGGCGAAACACUUCAAGCUACCCAUUUCGCCAUCUCCCUCUUCCACAGCCUAGGUCUCCAAAUAAACAUCCAAAAAUCCAUCUUGACACCUACACAACAGAUCGAGUUCAUCGGAGCUCAUCUCGACUCAAUCCAGAGCAGGGCCUCGCUCCCAUAUCACAGAUUUCUCGCUAUCACACAGCUCAUACACAUGCUCUCUAUUUGUCCCAGGGCACAGGCAAGAAUCUGUCUACAGCUCUUUGGUCACAUGGCAGCCACCACCUUCAUGGUCCAGUACGCCAGGCUACACAUGAGAUGUCUUCAGAGCUGGCUCAAUUUCAAUUUCAAACCCAACAGACACAUCUUAGGGAUGCUGCUAACUCCUCCUUCCAGUGUUAUAGCUGCCCUACAUUGGUGGACAAGACCAGAAAACCUCUGCACGGGGGUUUCCUUCCAGCAACGAUCCCCAAUGCUCAUGCUCACCACGGACGCUUCCCUAAUCGGUUGGGGAGCGCAGUGAGGGGGACACAGGGCACAAGGCCAGUGGUCCGCAUCAGAGACGCACCUACACAUAAAUCUUAGAGCUCAGAGCAGUGAGGCGAGCAUG
This 1246-nucleotide long non-coding RNA is filed under the name Chrysemys picta bellii (western painted turtle). RNAcentral describes it as "lncRNA (ENSCPBG00000002308.1)". Lineage: Eukaryota; Metazoa; Chordata; Testudines; Emydidae. The record is from RNAcentral.